This 521-nucleotide long non-coding RNA is filed under the name Nicotiana benthamiana. RNAcentral describes it as "long non-coding RNA (NBEN_LNC024637)". The record is from RNAcentral. Lineage: Eukaryota; Viridiplantae; Streptophyta; Magnoliopsida; Solanales; Solanaceae.
AACCCUAGGUAUAAAACCCUAGGUGUAACCUUGGAAAUCCUUACUGGAAAUGUGGUCAGGAACGUCGGAGAGGCACCCAAAACAUCCGCUGAGUGAGAAUCGAGCCACCGGAAAGCAGUAGAACCCUAUGUUAAACCACAGAAACCCUAGAAGCCGAUAGGUCACCGAGAAACCCCCCAAAAUCAGCAGAAAAACUCUCAGAAUGUUCGGGUGAAGAGAAUAUACUCAAAUAUCAUGACGAAAAACUCGAAAAAGCAUCCGAUCUAGGUCAGAAUCAUCAUCGACCAUAAGGUCUCAGAAAAAUCCCCAAAAAAAUUCUCAAAAAGAGAUCAACCAAGAUAACGAGAUGUAGAGAAACAUAAUCGGAUCGUCGUAUAGGCUCUGAUACCAUGUGAACAUUGAUAUUAGACCGAGAAAUCAUAAAAACUGUAAAGAGAGAAAGUAGAGAGAAGACAGAGCGUUUGGAACUCUCUGGAAAUGAGAGAAAUAUUAUUACAGAGAAAAAUGAGAGAAAAUGAAAU